Oncorhynchus mykiss (rainbow trout) is the source of this 2796-nucleotide non-coding RNA. Lineage: Eukaryota; Metazoa; Chordata; Actinopteri; Salmoniformes; Salmonidae. The record is from RefSeq and is a predicted model, not a curated record.
UGCCACACGGUACUGUUUCGGUUUCACGUUUAUUGUUUUGGAGUGUUCAGUUUAUGUCUUUAAAUAAACGUUAUGGACACUUACCACGCUGCGCAUUGGUCCUCCGAUCCUCCUCGGAAGAGGAGGAAUGCCGCUACAAGCAGGAAAUGUGCAAUGUGGCUGACUAGCUUAUAAUCAACCUGGGUCCAUAAUCCAACUACACAACCUAUUCUGAUCUCAAAGACUUUUUAAACAUCUCAGAGGUGGCAGUUCUAGAGCUGAUACUGGACCCCACGAACCUGUCAAAUGCAACUCUUGCAAAUGUAUUUCCUAUGGGUUCUUGGGUCUUCAGAUCUAUGGGUGAUUGGUCCAUUUUUCCAAUCAUUAGCGGAGGUUUCUGCAAAGAGAAGCCGGACGGCUAUUGAGCCAGGACUGAGACACCCUCUAAAACCUGACACUGACGACACUAGUCCCAAAAUUUCAGACACUAGAGAGUAGUGUUCCAGGUGUCUCUCCCGUCAUUCCUCCCAAGCAUUUCAUCUCAGUCAUCCCAAGGAAUAUCAGCUGUGACUCCACUGAUUUUCAUUGCAAUUUUUACAACCCCAGAGAUUUGAAUCUUGCAAUGGGGAAUGUAGGAUGUUGUGGACUAAUCUAAAUUUGACCCAGCUGAUUGCAAAGCCUACUCAUCCAAACUUAAAGGACCCUACAACAUUAACGUCGAUUGCCCUCAUAUUUACAAAUACUCUCGAGUAAUAUGCUAGGAGUGGAGUGUUUGCUUUGGAUAUUAGUGACCGGUGACCAUUGUCCCAAAUCAGAUUAUUAUCUGAAUGUACAGGGUGCUACAUUUUGGAAAGCUGUUACAUCAAUGAAGAGUUGUCUCCUCUUCUCUUCCCCCAAUAGAUUCAUUUAGAUUCUGGCCAAUACUGACAAUUGAUAUCAGUCAUGCAUUAAAUCACAAUUUUAUCUUUGCGGGCUACAUAUUUGAACGCAUUUCAAAGACAGCUCUUAAAAAAAGAGUAGUUUGGAUGUUGAUGUUGAAAAUCUAUUGAAUGAUACUAGAAAUGCUGGUCAGGAGUUUUAUUUUUGGAAAUUCACUGACAAAGUAGUCCUGGAUGUUUUGCUAACAUUACACCAAAACAAAUCCACAGGGGCUGAUCAUUUGGAUCCCGGCCUAAGUGUGUAGCUCAGUAGCUCACAUUUUUAAUUUAACAUUGUUUUCAAGAAGUAUUCCAAAAACAUGGAAAUCCGGAUAUGUGCCACCCUCUAAGGGUGGGCAUACAAAUGAUCUUGACAACUAUCGCCCCAUUUUAAUACUACCUUGUUCACAGUAGCUAAGAUUCUUGAAAUCUUGGUUAAGGUGCAACUUUGUUUCUUUUUACCUGAUAACUGUAUUUUCAAUAUAAACCAAUCAGGGUUUAGGCCUGGGCGUAGUACUACGACAGCAAUCACGCUAGUUGUUAAUGAUCUUGUCAAUGCCUUGGAUGCUAAAAAGAACUGUGCUGCCAUGUUCAUUGACCUGUCAAAGGGUUGAUCAUUCUGUUAUCAAGAAUAGGCCUGGGAUAUACAGCCUGCUUUUUGAUUUCAGAAUUAUCUUAGCAACAUAACUCAGGCCAUCUUGACAGAUGGGGUUGAAUCGGAAUUUCUUGAUAUUCAAAAAGGUGUUCUUCAGGGUUCUAUUUUGGGUCCAUUAUUGUUCACCUUGUAUAUUAAUGACAUAGGAAACACUGUUGUAACAUUCAUAUAUAUGCAGAUGACAGUUUAGUAUUCCUGUGCCAACCCAGUGCAGCAGGCUAUUUGUGAACUUCAUCAUGAAAUCACUUACAGAUCUUAAAUUAGUGUUAAAUACAAGUAAAACCAAGCUCAUGCUGUUAUCUAGGUCACAAAAUGUUGACUCUGAGGACCUGUUCAUGUGCGCUAAUAAUGGAGCCCAAAUUGAGCUUGUUUCUCAAUAUAAGUACCUGGGUGUCUGGAUUGAUGCAUAUAGAGAAUCUGACUAAUAAGCUAAGAUCUUUUUUUUAAUUUAUUAUAUCAAAAUAAAUUAUAUAAAUAAAUAAAUUAUGCCUCAGUAUUGAAAAUAGGAGAAAGAUUGUUCAAACAACGCUUCUCCCUGUAUUGGAUUUUGGUGACAUUGUUUACAUACAUGUGGCACAACAUCUGUUUUAAAAAUAAAAUUUGAUUUGAUUUGAAACCCUUGGGCACAGUACACCAUUCUGCAAUACGUUUUAUCACAGGGGGCAAUUUUAGGACAAAUCUUUGUCUGUGUAAAAAUUUCAGGAUGGACCUCUGUAAGAAGAGCUGCACUCUCUCAUUUAUUUACAAAGCAAUCUUACAGAAACUCCCUUCAUAUGUAACCUCCUUAAUUAAGUUAAGAAUCAUAAGUUACCAAACCCGUCCUCGGGAAUGGGCAACACUAGAGAUACCUUCAGUCUCCACAGAUUUGGGAAAAUCUGAGUUAUUUUCUUUUUUUUGCCCCUAAUUUGUGGAACAAUCUGCAGAGUUCACUGCAGCUAGUUGUGCUGGUGCCAGUUUACAUUAUUGAUUUGAGAACCUCUAUGUAGUUGAAUAUGAUUGGUUUUAUUAAAUAUGUUUAUUUUGUUUGCUGAAUUCUAUUGUUUUAUACAAAUACAUGUGUGUAUUUAUUAUUCUGUAAAAUCUUGUAAAUCUUGUAAAAUUGAUUUUUAAUCUCAAUGUGACUCCCUGCUAAAAUAAAAAUAGUGCAAUGUGAGUUUCAGCUCUGUUUAAAGGGACUAAUGAUUAUUGAAUAUGAUUUGGCAUAUACAGUUGAAGUCAAAAGUUGAACUACACCCAGGUUGGAGU